AAUUAUGUGGCUGCCAUUGUCAAAGAAGAUGGCUGCAAUGGUGGGUUGUUGGUGGCAGCCAACAACCAUUGUCUAAUGUCAAAGUUUGGCAAGUUUGGCAGCCACCAUUGUUGACAAAAGAGCUGGAGGAGCUGCCAUGGAUGCCUAUAAAUAGAGGCAUACAUUAGAGAGCAAAAUGAGAGAGAAAAGAGAGAGUGUGUAGAGCCAAAGAUGUGAGAAAUGUAGGAGAGAGUGGGCUGCCAAGGCAGCCAGCAGUAGCUGCCAUUGCAGCAUUGAGAAGAGAGAAAUAGAGUGAGGUUGAGAGUUGCCAAAUAAGGGGAUGAUUCCUCCUCCUCUAUUGUUGUAAAUCUUGUUCUCUCCCUAUAUAAUCAAUGGCUUCUCCCGUGGAUGUAGGCGGUUUGCCGAACCACGUUAAAUAUUGUGUCAGUGUGCUUAGCCUCCAAUGGGCAAAUAUCAGAACAUCACCGGUCGGAAUUCCCUACAAUUGGUAUCAGAGCAUAUGGUUUGAAGUGGUGUUUGAUUUUUGCUCAAAAAUGAAAGUUGUCAAAAUUAUGUUUUGACCAUACCACCGUGUAGAGGAGGAAGAGACGAAGCCACUGGUGAAAACGGCGUCAAAAUCGGACGUCGGACAUGGCCGCACUCUCCAUCACUCUCUGGCAAGGCGUCUGCCCACGCGCGCAGACGCGCCCCACGCGUGCCACGCGUCUUCUUCGCCCGGAUGGGUUGACCCGACCUGAAUACCAGUUGACCCGACCCAUGUGACUGACUCAGAUAAAGAUGAUGUCAGCAUGUACAGUACACAUGCCAGGGAUGACGUCAUCCUGAUGUAAUUGUGACAUCAGCAUGUACAGUAGCAUGCCAUGUCAGCGCCCAGUCAGCAGCCACGUCAGCAUAGUGGGACCACCUGCCACGUCAUCAGCCGCGAGCCGAGCUGAGUUAAGCCGAGCCGAGUUGGAGCCGAGCCGCAAGCCGAGGGACAGGAUCCAGUGUAGCUGAUCCUACGUGCAACCGGAUCUGAGAUUGAAUCUGAGCCGUUGAUCAGGCCAGAAUUGUUUUGAUCAAAUCGUAGCCGUUUGAAGUACGAUUUGGACGAUUUCAGACUUGUUUCCAGCUAAUUUGAUCGUUCCGGAUGCAAUGGUACGGUCCGAUCAUUGAGAUUGAGACCGAAAAUGGUGGUGGUGAAUUAUUGAAAGAGAUUGCCCGAUGAAGAGGCAUCUGAAGGUCAUCAUGGUGGUCGAUGGAGAUGAAGAAGGAGAAAGUGCACAUGUUUGCCCAAUUACAUGUGCUGAACUGCUAAGUGAGGAGAAAUUUUAAUUGCUUUGAAGGAAGGCAAAAUUGGGACACUCUAGACACCCAAUCAAGUGGACAAUUUGAGGUGGAGAGUGGAAAUUGAUGAAGACCAAUCUUGACGAAUCUAAGAACUGGUAGUCUCGCUAGAUGUUGAGAAAUCAGGUAUAAAACCGGGAUACCCCAUAUCACUUGUAAAGGAAAGCCGCAACAAAGCUAGCAAAUGGUUGUAUAUACGAAAAGGCAGUACGGUGGAUAGAUACGUUCUAAGAAGUUCUGUCUAGGAAAUUGGGUUUUAAGCGGGACCAGUGUGACCCCUCCAAAUCUUUCCUGGGAACUUGCUUAGUUGAAGGAUCAUCCACACAGUACUAUUUUUGUAUAUGUAACAGUUUGUAAUGAAACUGUUGAAGACUAGCAAGAUGACGGCACAAAGGAACAGUUGGGUUCCGUAUGUUCAAGGAUCUGAUGGAGUGGUGAUUUCUCCAAAGAAGUUAGAUUCGGUGACUGUAAUUUCUCGAAGGGAGAAUUCAUGAAGACCCUGAUAAUGGAAGAGAAAUACAGCAAGGGGAUAAAGAUGGCACNNNNNNNNNNNNNNNNNNNNNNNNNNNNNNNNNNNNNNNNNNNNNNNNNNNNNNNNNNNNNNNNNNNNNNNNNNNNNNNNNNNNNNNNNNNNNNNNNNNNCCGAAAUUGCCGAGAGCCACGGAGAUUGUGCAGGAGUACCCGAAGGAUCCAACGAGGUACUGUAAUGAGACAACAGAUGCAAGGAGAAGAAGAGUUCCCAGAUGAAGCUCAGAGCAGAGACUGUGUGAAAAAGUUGUACAACAGGAAGUCUCUUGUGCUCUUGAUAAAGGCAACAAGCGAGGACCUUUCCAAUGCAUGCAAGGAUGGAAAGAUGAGCUGUUGCAGAAGCACCUAAUUAAGGGGGUGCGACCACCGAUGAAAGGCGAAGACACCAAAGAGAGUUGGUGUGGGUGGAGCUAUCAAGCAGAAAGGCGUAGAAGCUCCAAACAUAGAAAUCGAGGUGGAGGAUUGCGAGGAGUAUAACGCAACUCUCUCUUUCUAUGUGAUCAGUGGCAGUGAUCUCUCCCAAGUCCACAUGAUGAUAGAGAAUCUUGGAGCCAUUGGAGACAUCCCCGAUGAAGGAGGAUGUGACCGCUUCAUGAUGACAGGCGGAGACACCUCGGAUGGAAGGUGUGAGGACCAUGAUAUGAGUCCAAGAUCAGACCGUCUCAUGAUGACAGGCGGAGACACCUCGGAUGGAAGGUGUGAGGACCAUGAUAUGAGUCCAAGAUCAGACCGUCUCAUGACGACAGGCAGAGACACCUCAGAUGGAAGGUGUGAGGACCAUGACAUGAGUCCAAGAUAAGACCGUCUCAUGACGACAGGCAGAGACACCUCAGACAGAAGGUGUGCGGACCAUGAUAUGAGUCCAAGAUCAGACCGUCUCAUGACGACAGGCGGAGACACCUCAGGAGAAGGUGUGAGGACCAUGACAUGAGUCCAAGUUCAGACCGUCUCAUGACGACAGGCAGAGACACCUUGGAUGGAAGGUGUGAGGACCGUGAUAUGAGUCCAUGUUCAGACCGUUUCAUGACGACAGGCGGAGACACCUCAUGAGAAGGUGUGAGGAUCAUGAUAUGAGUCCAAGUUCAUACCGUCUCAUGACUACAGGCGGAAACACCUCUGAUGGAAGGUGUGAGGACCUUGAUAUGAGUCCAUGUUCAGAUCGUCUCAUGACGACAGGCAGAGACACCUCAGGAGAAGGUGUGAGGACCAUGAUAUGAGUCCAAGUUCAGACCGUCUCAUGACGACAGGCGGAGACACCUCGGAUGGAAGGUGUGAGGACCAUGAUAUGAGUCCAAGUUUAGACCGUCUCAUGACGACAGGCAGAGACACCUCAGGAGAAGGUGUGAGGGCCAUGAUAGGAGCCCAAUUACAGAAUGCCCCAGAGCCAAUGUGAUGGCUGGAUAUAAGUGGACAAGUGUAUAGCCAAUAAGAGGCUAUGAUGAGUAUGGAGACAAAUGCAAGAUUGAUUUUCAUGGAUAUUGCCUCCAUGCUAAAGAUCAAUGAGCUAGAAAACAUUUACCUUGAAAAAUAAGUGGAUGACUUGUGGAGCAUUAAGACGCGACUGUUAUGAAGGAGCAGAGGGCAUGCGCAGGUUCCGGGAACAAGUUGACUCUUGUCAAGGUGGUGAGCUCAGUAAUGACAUUGUAAUACUCAGAGUAUGAAGAUAGAGAUGGAUCAACCUUUAAUGGGCUGUCCCCAUGGUUAAAAGGGAGAGCCACCUGGACUCUUGAGACUAAGAGCGGGAGACUCACGGAGAAGUAAGGCGUGGUUCCUAGGGAGGAACAAAGGGCAGACGCAACUCCGGGAUGAGUAGACUCUUGGAAGAGUGGUGAGCUUGUGAUCACAUUAAAAUACUCAAUGACUGUCGCACUUGGAAAUAUCCGUUUGAGGGGGUGUUGUAAGCCUUGGUGUAAGGCUUGAUAAAUCAUUCCGGGCCAAGCAUGGUUGAUAUGCUUGAAGGGGGAUGUUGUUCUAGAGACAAGCGUUAAACACUCUUCAGAUGAGAUAUGACAAACCAUCUGGUUGAAGUGAUCCUUUGGAGUGAGCAAAGGGGUGCUUGGAUGACUCUGGCGAUUGAAAGGUUUGGCAAGUACCUGGAAACUUGGCCAAAGACGCUCUCGGAAUGGUAAGCUUCGAAGAGCUGCAGGAUGCAAGCGUGUGCUGAAGAAGCAAGAGGACAAUUGCCCACAUAAAUGGCAAAGGGGGUGAUUGUUGGAAUAUUGCCAAUUAUGUGGCUGCCAUUGUCAAAGAAGAUGGCUGCAAUGGUAGGUUGUUGGUGGCAGCCAACAACCAUUGUCUAAUGUCAAAGUUUGGCAAGUUUGGCAGCCACCAUUGUUGACAAAAGAGCUGGAGGAGCUGCCAUGGAUGCCUAUAAAUAGAGGCAUACAUUAGAGAGCAAAAUGAGAGAGAAAAGAGAGAGUGUGUAGAGCCAAAGAUGUGAGAAAUGUAGGAGAGAGUGGGCUGCCAAGGCAGCCAGCAGUAGCUGCCAUUGCAGCACUGAGAAGAGAGAAAUAGAGUGAGGUUGAGAGUUGCCAAAUAAGGGGAUGAUUCCUCCUCCUCUAUUGUUGUAAAUCUUGUUCUCUCCCUAUAUAAUCAA
RNAcentral lists this long non-coding RNA (4450 nucleotides) under Populus trichocarpa (black cottonwood). RNAcentral's name for it is "long non-coding RNA (PTRI_LNC004462)". Lineage: Eukaryota; Viridiplantae; Streptophyta; Magnoliopsida; Malpighiales; Salicaceae. The record is from RNAcentral.